AGUUCUCGGGGCGGGGUGAAAUUCCCCACCGGUGGUUAAAGUCCACGACCUCUUAAUGAGCUGAUGCGGUGAAAUUCCGCAACCGACGGUACAGUCCGGAUGGCAGAGAAU
Molecule: non-coding RNA, 111 nt
Filed under: bovine gut metagenome
Description: FMN riboswitch (RFN element)
Rfam family: FMN riboswitch aptamer (RFN element)
About the family: The RFN element is a highly conserved domain that is found frequently in the 5'-untranslated regions of prokaryotic mRNAs that encode for flavin mononucleotide (FMN) biosynthesis and transport proteins.
Source: RNAcentral